Heterocephalus glaber (naked mole-rat) is the source of this 2871-nucleotide long non-coding RNA. Lineage: Eukaryota; Metazoa; Chordata; Mammalia; Rodentia; Bathyergidae. The record is from Ensembl.
CCCGCCCGUGCCCACAGGCAGUGGCCGGGCCCCAAGUUAACGCCUGCACGGCGCCGGCGCAGGGCGCUGGGCCUGGGGGACGACACGCGCCCCGCACACGGCCGACACUGCCGCCUGGGCCGGCGGAGGGCUCGGGGAGCCCAGGCUGAGAGCUGCGCCCUGAGCUCGCGCUGCAGGUGUGGCGGACGCCACGGGCCCAGCGACUCCGCCUGGCGCCCACCCCUCCAGCGCCUGGCGCCUCCAGUCCCUCCUGCUCCGCCUCCCUGCGCGGCUCGGGGUUCGCACAGUGGAAACGGCCUCGGGGCGGAGGGGCCUUGGAGGAACCCGGGCGGGACGGACUGCGUGGACCUGCUGGCCACCCCCCGGCCCGCUCCCUCGAAGCCGGGCUCCGGCACGCAGUACCGUUGCCUUGGAAACCGCGGCUGGCCUGCAAGGGCAAAACAGUGGGGUUGGCGGGAAGCCGGAAACUGGAAUUUUCCAGGCCCUGCAGGUUGACGUGUGUGCACUCGGGAUUCACCCCCUGAAGGGCUCGUGCAGGAGAGAGAGGGGAAAGCUGACCUCUGAUUACCGGUCUCUGCGAUGCCAACUCUGAUCCUGUCUGUGACUUACUCCAAAUUUUUCUUCACCAUAAUCGCCUGUGUGUGUGCCGUACUGGGGGUUGACCCCAGGGCCUCCCACGUGCUAGGCAAAUGCGCUGCCGCUUCAAGCUGCAACCCUCCUACCGUCCUGCCUCUCUUCAGGGCACAGAAUCACUGGUAGAAGUGCAAGAGCCCCGCGCCCCCAGUCAGCCCACCCCGGCUUUCUCCCACCAACGUGCUGUUUGGGGCCCAGUGUGCCCCAGGAGGUCCCCUUCUCCUGCGCCACCAAAUAAAUCUCUGAGUUCCCCAAAGCUCAGAAUCCCAAGCAUCACAGCCGGUGCCCAGAGUCAAACCUGCAGAUAAAAGCAGCGAUGUCCCCUCUGCCAGGGCUCCGCCUCCUCUUUGCAAUCAUCACCAUGACACCAGAAAACGAUCCUGGUGCCGUUCAGGAAAAGGAUCGCCCUCCCUCCCUGUCCUGUCCUCCCUCCCUCCCGAGGGUGGCCCAGCGGAGGGUGUCUGGGGUGCUGUGGAGGCCGCAGCACCUGCCCACGGCAGCAAUGCUGGGAGGAGGACCAGCCGCAAAGGGGCAGGUGCUGCGGCCCGGUCCUCUGGGAUCAAGUACUGGCCUCCGAGCCCGCGUGCUCACCUCAGCCCGGGCAGCGUGGAGCCCCGCCCACCAGCCUGAGUCCCCUGGGCCUGAAGCUGCCCCAGGCAGGGGCCCUUCCACAGUCAUCAGGGACGUGCUCGCCUCGUCCAUGUCCCCGCUGUGGCCAGAGGCCUCACCACAGCCCAGUCCACUCCGGCCACAGUCAGGAUCGACCUUCCUGAUCCGCCCGUGUGGUCCCGUCCGUGAGAAGCAGGCUGCAGGCCAUGCUGCCUGUGAAGAGCCUCACCGAGUCCCCUGCUGGGCGCUCCACAGGCCCACAGUCCUGCUGGUCUGGCCUGGCUAAGUAGUCAGUUAGGGCACCCGACACACCCACUCCUGCCAGCAUCCUGCAUCUGUCCUCAGUGGUGCGUCCCGUGAAAGGAGCACAGCCCGGCAGUCAGCGCGGGACCCACUGGUGAAGUGAAGGCUGUGGGGCUGAGUCAGGCCCCACAGGUGGGCGUGGCCUUGGCACAGCAGUGCUGCUGAAACUCCCGGUCCGGGACUGGAUGGACGCGUCCUCAGAACAGAGAGCCACGCUGGGCUGUCCGAGGAGGUGCACGCUGCUGGCUAGUGCACAGUGUCCUGCAGGACCCUUAUCUCUAGUCUGCCCAUCCUCCUCACCCUCCUGGUCCUGCACAGUAUCACAAGCCAAGUCGGCACCUGGCGAGUCUACAAGGUGGGCUCUGGUUUCCACUUCUUAGACCGCAGACUCCAGAGUUUUAUUUUUGUUUACUUGUUUUUGUUGACUCCAGAGUUUUAUGUAGGAGUUGUCAACCCCAGCAGCAAGCAGCUUGCUAUGGGGGCGAUUUCUGCAGUGUGUGGCAGAUGGGGUGCCCUUGAUGCACCUGAUGCUCCCCUGUAAGACCUCGGGGCAGCCUCUUUCUGCAGAAUGGGGCUGGGCACGUGGGGGCUCCAGGCCUCUGCUGUCACUUGGGAGGAGCCAGCUCUGGCAUCAAGCAGGUGGUCUGUUCUCAGCAGGCUGCACAUCCAGUGGAAGUGGAAGUGAUAGAGAAAAUUUGAACUAUAGGUUAGUUAUUAAGGUAGCUGAAGUAGAAUAAGUAAUACAUUCCUUUAAGAUUUACCUUUCCCGUAACUCAUAUUGUUUAAGGUGAUGGCUAACUGAACCUUUGACCUGUACCCUAGCUGUAGAUAACAUUUAACCUGGAGAAAAGAAAGUAGAAAUGUUUGGGUAGUUUACAAUGUAUGUGUUUUAGGUGCCAUCUGUUUGAUAUAUGUCAGUGACUAUAACCAUUAACAGGAACUAGUUGUAAAAGGGAAACAGAAAUUUUACUGACUAAGACCACUAGGAAUGAGGUAAAGGCUAAAAGAAGAUAUAAAAGGAAAUGUUAAAGCAAAGGACGGGGCAGGCAUUGACCAGACGAGUUUCUGGCGGUCCUGCCCGCUUGCAAGUAAAGGCUUUUUUUCUCCCCCAACUUCUGUGUCUCCGUGCAUUUCUUUCCGGGAUUCCAGAACACAAGGUGAGGAUCUUGCACAAGGCAGCAUUGCUGUCACUUUGGAGGUGGUGCAUCAGGUAGUUGUGGCCGUCUUCCUGGAAACCAACCACAUACUCAUCAUCUAGGAAUACGUGAAGCUUGAAGCUGGACUGGCCAUCCAGGGUGGCCUGGGUGUCUGCUGCUGCUCGGCAAG